CGCGUAGGCGGCUUUACAAGUCAGAUGUGAAAGCCCAUGGCUCAACCAUGGACGUGCAUUUGAAACUGUAAGACUUGAGUAUUGGAGGGGGUGGUGGAAUUCCCGGUGUAGAGGUGAAAUUCGUAGAUAUCGGGAGGAAUACCAGUGGCGAAGGCGACCACCUGGCCAAAUACUGACGCUCAUGUGCGAAAGCGUGGGGAGCAAACA
RNAcentral lists this ribosomal RNA (207 nucleotides) under uncultured delta proteobacterium. RNAcentral describes it as "partial 16S ribosomal RNA". It matches the Rfam family "Bacterial small subunit ribosomal RNA", at positions 568 to 774 of the family's 1533-position model. Lineage: Bacteria; Deltaproteobacteria. The record is from RNAcentral.